This 288-nucleotide ribosomal RNA is filed under the name uncultured bacterium. RNAcentral's name for it is "partial 16S ribosomal RNA". It matches the Rfam family "Bacterial small subunit ribosomal RNA", at positions 775 to 1067 of the family's 1533-position model. The record is from RNAcentral.
GGAUUAGAUACCCUGGUAGUCCACGCCGUAAACGAUGGUCACUAGUUGUUGGGGCUUUAUGCUUCAGUGAUUAAGAGAAAUUGAUAAGUGACCCACCUGGGGAGUACGAUCGCAAGAUUGAAACUCAAAGGAAUUGACGGGGGCCCGCACAAGCGGUGGAGCAUGUGGUUUAAUUCGAUGAUACGCGAGGAACCUUACCAGGGCUUAAAUGUAAGUUGCAUAGACCAGAGAUGGUCUUUUCUUCGGACUACUUACAAGGUGCUGCAUGGUUGUCGUCAGCUCGUGCCG